Molecule: unclassified non-coding RNA, 195 nt
Filed under: plant metagenome
Description: partial contains small subunit ribosomal RNA, internal transcribed spacer 1, and 5.8S ribosomal RNA
Source: RNAcentral
UCUCCGUCGGUGAACCAGCGGAGGGAUCAUUACCGAGUUUACAACUCCCAAACCCCUGUGAACAUACCAUUUGUUGCCUCGGCGGUGCCUGCUUCGGCAGCCCGCCAGAGGACCCAAACCCUUGAUUUUAUACAGUAUCUUCUGAGUAAAUGAUUAAAUAAAUCAAAACCUUCAACAACGGAUCUCUUGGUUCUG